UACGGAGGGUGCAAGCGUUAUCCGGAUUCACUGGGUUUAAAGGGUGCGUAGGAGGGCAGGUAAGUCAGUGGUGAAAUCUCCAAGCUUAACUUGGAAACUGCCGUUGAUACUAUCUGUCUUGAAUACCGUGGAGGUGAGCGGAAUAUGUCAUGUAGCGGUGAAAUGCUUAGAUAUGACAUAGAACACCAAUUGCGAAGGCAGCUCGCUACACGAAUAUUGACGCUGAGGCACGAAAGCGUGGGGAUCAAACAGG
This 253-nucleotide ribosomal RNA is filed under the name uncultured bacterium. Its description in RNAcentral is "partial 16S ribosomal RNA". It matches the Rfam family "Bacterial small subunit ribosomal RNA", at positions 524 to 776 of the family's 1533-position model. The record is from RNAcentral.